AGAGUUUGAUCCUGGCUCAGAGCGAACGCUGGCGGCGUGCUUAACACAUGCAAGUCGAACGCGCAGCAGUUUGUAGCAAUACAGAUUGUGGGCGCGUGGCGAACGGGUGCGUAACACGUGGAUAACCUUCCUUCAGGUGGGGAAUAACCCAGUGAAAAUUGGGCUAAUACCGCAUAACAUGACGAUGGCUCAUGCCGUUGUCUUCAAAGGCGCAAGUCGCCAGAAGAGGGAUCCGCGGCCGAUUAGCUAGUUGGCGAGGUAAUGGCUCACCAAGGCAUUGAUCGGUAGCCGGACUGAGAGGUUGGCCGGCCACACUGGAACUGAGACACGGUCCAGACUCCUACGGGAGGCAGCAGUGGGGAAUCUUGCACAAUGGACGAAAGUCUGAUGCAGCAACGCCGCGUGGGGGAUGAAGCUUUUCGGAGUGUAAACCCCU
RNAcentral lists this ribosomal RNA (436 nucleotides) under uncultured bacterium. RNAcentral describes it as "bacterial SSU rRNA". It matches the Rfam family "Bacterial small subunit ribosomal RNA", at positions 8 to 434 of the family's 1533-position model. The record is from RNAcentral.